GCCCCCGUAGCUCAGCGGAUAGAGUACCGGCCUCCGAAGCCGGGGGCGUGAGUUCGAGUCUCACCGGGGGCACCA
This 75-nucleotide transfer RNA is filed under the name Chloroflexota bacterium. Its description in RNAcentral is "Chloroflexi bacterium tRNA-Arg". It matches the Rfam family "tRNA". From Rfam's summary of the family: Transfer RNA (tRNA) molecules are approximately 80 nucleotides in length. Their secondary structure includes four short double-helical elements and three loops (D, anti-codon, and T loops). Further hydrogen bonds mediate the characteristic L-shaped molecular structure. tRNAs have two regions of fundamental functional importance: the anti-codon, which is responsible for specific mRNA codon recognition, and the 3' end, to which the tRNAs corresponding amino acid is attached (by aminoacyl-tRNA synthetases). tRNAs cope with the degeneracy of the genetic code in two manners: having more than one tRNA (with a specific anti-codon) for a particular amino acid; and 'wobble' base-pairing, i.e. permitting non-standard base-pairing at the 3rd anti-codon position. The record is from RNAcentral. RNAcentral also lists the same sequence under 1 other name. Lineage: Bacteria; Bacillati; Chloroflexota.